This 521-nucleotide long non-coding RNA is filed under the name Olea europaea subsp. europaea. The record is from RNAcentral. Lineage: Eukaryota; Viridiplantae; Streptophyta; Magnoliopsida; Lamiales; Oleaceae.
ACCCCCAUGGGCGCUCUACGCCCAUGUCGGGACCUCGACCCCUAGGCGUUCUACACCCAUGCCAGGCGUCGACCCCCAUGGGCGCUUUACACCCACGCCGGGACAUCGACCCCCUAGGUGCUUUGCGCCCAUGCCAGAUGUUGAACCCCGAGGAGCACUAUACCUAUGUCGGGACGUCAACCACCAUGGGUACUCUACAUCCUAGCUGGACCAUCAACCACCAUGAGGCUCAUUACCACUACGCGGUCAAUACAACACUUAGCCAAAAAUCAUAAUUUGGGUAGAGAUCAAUCGACGGUUGUUACGAACAUGACUAGCAGUUGAACGGGCGGAGGUUACCUACUAAGAACAUGGGGGCAGUGGAAGAGGUUACGUGGGACACAUGGCAAAAUAACCGCCUGGCGUUCACAUGACUCCAAUCACCUAUAAAUACUCCAAAAGGCGAAACAGGUAAGGAUCUUGGAAAAACUUUGGUUAUUUGAAUAUUUCCUUUUUCCUUUCCUAACUCUCCAUAAUUCGAU